This 66-nucleotide transfer RNA is filed under the name Leptomyrmex pallens. RNAcentral's name for it is "tRNA-Ile". The record is from RNAcentral. Lineage: Eukaryota; Metazoa; Arthropoda; Insecta; Hymenoptera; Formicidae.
GUGAUAUGCCUGAUUAAAGGACUAUCUUGAUAGGAUAAUUAAUACAUAAUAUAAUGUUUUCACUAA